Solanum dulcamara is the source of this 4410-nucleotide long non-coding RNA. RefSeq lists it as uncharacterized. The record is from RefSeq and is a predicted model, not a curated record. The transcript is spliced from 28 exons. Lineage: Eukaryota; Viridiplantae; Streptophyta; Magnoliopsida; Solanales; Solanaceae.
CUAUAAAAAAGACACCACCUGCUCACUUUAUAACUCACCACCAUCAUAUUACGGAAGCCAUACGCUACCGGAUUGCUGAUCUUAACUGUUCCGGUGACGAUGUCCGAUCAAAGCCCUAAAUCAAUUUUCCCGGUGAUCAUCUUCUCAAGGAGAUGGGGAGCAUUAAGCGAAUGUCUGAGGCUAUUUGGAGUUCAAUUCAGUCAGGGGUAAUCUUGUAAGAUUUCGCACAGUUUCGAUGCUGGUGUCCCCAAGGUGUAAUUUACCCUUUCAAAGUUUCAAUAUUCUUUAUCGCACACUCAAUUGGACAGACUUUCGUAAACACCCUCACUGUGCUUCUGACAUGGACCAGCAAAGUAGAUCUCAGAUAUAUCCAUUGUUUUUGUUGAACCUAAACUGCCCAAGAUCUUUAGAUGAUUUGACUUUGGAGCCUUCAAAGACCUUUGUGGAAUUUAAGGUUGCGGCCCGUCCUUCUCUUUAUUGAGGAUACUAUCGCAAAUCUCUGUACUGGAAAUAACUCUAUUGGCUGUAGCCACCCACCUGCCUCCCUAAAAGAGGGGGGGAGGGAGAGGGAAACAAAUUGUGGAAGUGGAAGAGAGAGUUACUUAUGCAUCAGAUGGUGCAAAGCAUUUCACUGCAUGCUGCUGAUGAGUGAAUUCAUUCGGAAGAACUACAUGAGAAGGUCAUGCCUGAAAUUGUUUACCACUAACUGGGGUUGGAUCUUCAACAAUCAUUCUCAAGCUUAUUUACCAGGCUUACUAAUUACAGAUAUAGGAGAGUAGAGUAUCAGGAAGAUCCUCAACCCUAAAAGAAAAAAUUACAAGACCACCAAACAUUCAUAUCUUAUUCUCUUCAACAUUCAUAUUCCUCCCUCUAAAGGAUAUAUGCCCGUCUGAAUGUGGAAAACAAAACAUGACAAGAACUUCUUUGCAGGCUAUUUAUUCCAUUAUGAGGUGAGGAAAUAUAUGUGUUGGAACUGCAUUUGAUGAUUGCUAAGUUAGGUUCGUGGAGUAGGAGUUCCUCCGAGGCAUGGUGUGGAUUACAUCGGCAUGAAAUCAACCUAGAACAUGCAGCAAAGCGACUAAGAUCAGCCAUAUCCUAGUGUCUAAAAGCUCUGCUACAUCAAAAUAGAACCAUUCAGAUUAUAUGUACGCUUCCCCAGCAAGCUUUGGCUUUGAAGAAGAUGCUCUGAGCUUUAUUUCUGACGUUUCCUUGUUGGAAAUUGUUACUAAAACUCACGGGAGGCCAAAUGGAUAUCGUAAGGUUUUGAAGACAAAAUGUUGGUACAACAGUCAUUGUUCGUGAUGUAUUUUACAACCAACCAGUUCGAAGGAAGCAAAUACACUCCCAACCCAAAGAGGGUCUUGCAUUCUCUGAAAGAGUCUCUGCUAAGAAUACUCCUUGUGCAUCCCAGUGGCUCCUUCAAAAUUGUUGAUUUUGAAAGUGUGGAUUACCAGCUUUGAACAUGUGCUUCUCCUUCUCUAUUGCCUCUAUUGUCUAGUGGGUUUGGGAUUCAUCCUUAACAAUUUGAAUGGAAGCGAUGGUUCAUUGAAGCUCUCAGGAUACAUCUCAGGUCCUGAUGUUUACACAGGCCCAAAUUGAUGGGUAUACAGGUCCUCAUGUUUACACAGUGGAGGUAUACAAGCCCAAAUUGAUGGUUUCCAGCAGGUAUAUGAGCAAUAGGAAGUGGGACCUGCUAUGUUAAGGUGGAUGACUAUGUUGGUGUAAACUGGAAAUUGAGAAGCUCUGUGCAGCCCUUUCAUCCAAUGCCAGAAACUAGAGCUGUAUGGAGACUGCAGCAUUCUGCAAAAGCUAUUUGCUCAGAGCUUCCACAGCAGUCGUCCCAUCAGUGUGAUCAAUCUUCCACCCAAGUUGUGGUGACAGUGUAUUCUCUGAUGAAAGGUCAAGUGUGAAAAUGUAACUUGUUAACAUCUGGAAUAGCAAGUUACAAACUCUAGGGGAGUGCACAAGUCCACAUGAUGGGGAGUCAAAACAAGGUAAACCAUUUCUGCCAUUUGUUCCUGACGUGAAUAAGAGCUGAAUUUUUCUACUGUGUGUUUCAGUUAAUUAGCUUCAUCUCUCUCACGCACUUUUCAAGAUUAUCUUAGAAUGCAUUCUUAUUAAUCCUGAAAGCAUUAGAGAUUACAAUGUCUCUUUGUAAGUCUCCUUGACCACAUAGUCUCUUUCAAAUUCCAUCUUCUAUUAUACUAGAAAGAUCUAGUUUCAACAUGUAUGCUUAUUGUCCAUUUAAUUUCAUUUUAGGGUAUUUUAGUCUUAUCACUCAAGCUCUCCACGUGUUAUGUUGCUGCUAUAUUCAAUAUGAGGCCUCCUAGCACGUCAGCUGUUUCCUCUACUUCUGUUUUCAAUUUUCAGUAGACCACCAUAACUACAUCAUUAUCUCUAUCUUCUCCAUCACUUCUUGUCUUUUUGCUAAAGGAAAAAGACAAGAAGUGUAUCUCUUUGUCAAUGGAUUAUGACAUAUUUAUUUUUCACAUUCUUGUUCUUCAGACCUUCCGUCUCCUGUUCGUUUUCAAAAGAAGUGUAGAGAUCUGGGUUUAGAAUUCUUCCGGAUUUUUUCCGUGUUUGUUAAUUUCAUUUUAGAUUGUUGUGGGUUUAGCUUGAUAGUGGUACAGAUUUGGGGUUUAGGCCUAAUUAGAAGGAAGAAACAUUUGAGUAUAAUGUUACGGUGCUUAAUAAAGUUUGAUUAUUUUUUCGAUUUCCUUUGUUAUUGGUUGUUGUGGGUCAAUUAAUUUCAAGCUAAGGGUAUAUUGGAUAGCAUGCAUCCAGCCCUUUCUAUCGUCAUCUUUCAUGGCCUUUUCUAUUGCUGUACUUUUCUCCGCUAAAUAAUUUCUUUUCUUUGCUCGAUUGAAUUUUCGUUAAUUUCUCUUGACUUUCCUGUUUCUACAGGCAUCUUCUUGCCCAAAAGGUAAGCUUUUUCUUCUAUAUAUAUGUAUUUGCGUCUCUUUGUAUGUGUUUCAGUUUUGGAUUUUUUUUCCUCUUUUGUUUUCCAUGUGUUAAAUGCUUGACCUGUUGUAUUUCUGCAUUUAUUUUUUGCUUGGAGCUGUCUUGGAGAGUUGUUGAGAUUGUGGAGAGUGAAAAUCACUUGUAGGGAAUUUUCUCCAAAUUUGAGAGCCAGCUGGGGACUUGAUGGCCAUGAAAAAAGUCUUACUGUAUAUGUAUUAAAGCUGAAGCAAUUAACUCUUGAUUAUAAACAAAAACAAUUUGGAUAAAUCUUGAGGUGUCGUAGUUAUGGAAAAUUACUUUGGAGUUGUCAAGGACGAUGAUCAACAUCAUCAGAUGGAACUGCCAGCUGGAUUUCGAUAUCAAUUUCUUUGCUAUUGUUGUUGGUGCUGUAGAUUUGAACAAAAUUUAACCUUGGGACCUCCAAUGUUGAGCCUUUUCAUUUAUUUGUUGGAAAUUGUUACUAAAACUCACUGGAGGCCAAAUGAAUAUCGUAAGGUUUUGAAGGACGGCAAGUGUUUGUACCUUGGAUUGAUGAUUGUAGACAAGAGUGAGUAUGACCUACUUUGCACACGUGCUUCUCCUUCCCCAUUGCCGCUAUUGUCCAGUGGGUUUGGGAUUCAUCUGAGUUCCCUUAAUAAUUUGAAUGCAAUCGAUGGUUCAUUCAAGCUCACCAGAUACAUCUUAGGUUGUGAUGUUUACACAGUGAAGGUCCUUCAAUAGAUCUAUCUUUAUAUGAUUUGACUUUGGAGCCUUCAAAGACCUAUAUGGAAUAUAAGGUUUCGUGUAUUUUGGGGGUUAAUCUAACUGAUGUGGAUCUGAUAGAAUUUUUUUAACAGCCCUCUCAUUUCUCUUUUGAUUAUACAUCAACAAGAACCGGAGGAGAUGAAGCCGAAGGCUGCCAAUGGAAUUCUGGAAGAUUGUGCUUUUAUACGCUUUUUUUUCCUUUAUACGUUAUCUUUAGACAAACUACUGUUAUUCACUUCUUAUAUUAGUUUUUCAUUUCAAUUUCCCCUUACAGCAACAACAAAGAUGAAGACAAAUGUAUAGUUGCUUAUACUUCAAGCCACACUAUUUGAUCAUUGCUAUGUGGAAUUCAUUCAGCGCCAAGUUUUAAGAUUUGCUUGUUGCAUGAAUUGCCUAAUUCACUGCCGAUUUCAGAAUUGAAUAUAUGGGUUUAUGAAGCCAAUAUAAAGGCUCAUAUUCUCAUUAAGAAGAAUGAAGAAAGUGGGAGGUUUUUUAGCCACCCAAAGUUAGAAAUUUUCUUAAUUUGGCUAGGAUUUUGAACUCUUGUCCUCAGUCUAAAAGUUGUGAAAAAUUCUAGCUUUCAAUUUAUAUUUUUCUUCGAGGAAAAUAGGUGAUUGAAGUCGAAAUUUAGGCUAAAAACGGAGUUCUUAUAACGUCGAACCCACGAAGGUUCAAGUCUAAAUUUUCAGUUUUUCUUUUUGUGGA